GGUGUGUGUUCGCACUCGGCGGGAUGCCGGGAGAAUCUGGAUGUGGAGAGGCACAAGGACAAGCACACGCUCUGAGCAAGAUUUAAAAGGUUUAAGGUCUCUGUAGAUGAUCCCAAGACUGUGAAGGUGGUCCAAGGCGAGGGCCAACUCUGCAAGAACAAGCAGCAGCAGUCACAUUGUGUGCGCCACCGGGCAGGCUCUCUGGACCCCUCCCCAGCUGCCUCUCCUUGCCUUUCCCCAACAACACACAGCAACAGCUGAUAACUGAUGGCAACAAAGAAGUACUAUGGCUUUGGAUCCAAAUUCGGUGCAGUAUUGAGGACAGCAAUCAUAGAGAGGCACAAGGCCAGCAGUCACAGUGAGAGCAGCAUGAUUUGUUCUGAUCACUGAACAUGGGUGUGUGUACUCAGAUCCGUCACAUCAGCAGCUUUUGCAGAGCUGCAGUGUUACAUAACCUCAGACAGAGCAGAGGAAUGCCAGCGGACAUUGAUGAAAGCUUGGGGGUUAAAAUACUGAAGUAGAGUGUUCGCAGAUGACCUGAGUGGUAAUAUUGUCUCGUUCAAAUUCAUCAAAGAGGCCAGUUUAAAAAUACCACCGAUGUGUUCCAAUUCAUAAACCUGAACUAUCCUCAACACAGGAAACUCACGGUGUGGCCUUUUUUAUGUGUUUGACAGGAUUUGGACCACACUGGGAUUUAAAAGGCACAAAGUUUCGGGACAUUUUAGCACUAUUAAAAAAUGUAAUCAAAUGUGUUCAGUCAAUCUGUUGUACUCUGUUGUGGGUGGGGAUUCAGGAUUAUAGACUGAUGUCUUUGUCCCAGUAGGAUUAUGGCUCUGUAAGGAGAUCACAACAUGAAUAUGUAUAUGCACGGACAGGCAGAAUGUGAGACAGUGAGACUCGGAUAUAGUAUUGUUAAUGUGGUGCAUUAUAAUGCACAUCAUUUUGUGGCAGAUGGCUUUACUUUUGCUACCAAGCUCUGUUUUUGGAGGUUUGAUUCACCAACAUUAGAAAAGCAUUCUGACACACAGCACAGCAUUUAAAAAAAACAUAUGAUACAGACUAUGAGUCUUUAUUGACAUUAAAAAAUACACUAUUAAUACAACUAUUAAUUUUUGCGGUUUCACCAACCAGCAGAUUUUUACUUUUUAAAAAACAGCCUCAGCAAUUCAGCUAAAGGACAGAUCAGUUAAUAUUGACUAAAGCAUUUAUACAAGGGG
Molecule: long non-coding RNA, 1217 nt
Organism: Austrofundulus limnaeus
Lineage: Eukaryota; Metazoa; Chordata; Actinopteri; Cyprinodontiformes; Rivulidae
Exons: 4
Source: RefSeq, a predicted model, not a curated record